RNAcentral lists this ribosomal RNA (409 nucleotides) under bacterium. RNAcentral describes it as "partial 16S ribosomal RNA". It matches the Rfam family "Bacterial small subunit ribosomal RNA", at positions 355 to 776 of the family's 1533-position model. The record is from RNAcentral.
AGGGGAAUAUUGCACAAUGGGCGAAAGCCUGAUGCAGCGACGCCGCGUGAGGGAUGACGGCCUUCGGGUUGUAAACCUCUUUCAGCAGGGACGAAGCGCAAGUGACGGUACCUGCAGAAGAAGCACCGGCUAACGACGUGCCAGCAGCCGCGGUAAUACGUAGGGUGCAAGCGUUGUCCGGAAUGAAUGGGCGUAAAGAGUUCGUAGGCGGUUUGUCGCGUCGUUUGUGAAAACCAGCAGCUGAACUGCUGGCUUGCAGGCGAUACGGGCAGGCUUGAAUACUGCAGGGGAGACUGGAAUUGCUGGUGUAGCGGUGAAAUGCGCCGAUAUCAGAAUGAACACCGGUGGCGAAGUCGGGUCUCUGGGCUGUAACUGACGCUGAGGAACGAAAGCGUGGGUCGCGAACAGG